Molecule: ribosomal RNA, 253 nt
Filed under: uncultured bacterium
Lineage: Bacteria
Description: partial 16S ribosomal RNA
Rfam family: Bacterial small subunit ribosomal RNA
Source: RNAcentral
UACAGGGGGGGCAAGCGUUGUUCGGAAUUACUGGGCGUAAAGGGCUCGUAGGCGGCCAACUAAGUCACACGUGAAAUCCCCAGGCUCAACCUGGGAACUGCGUGUGAUACUGGAUGGCUUGAAUUCGGGAGAGGGAUGCAGAAUUCCAGGUGUAGCGGUGAAAUGCGUAGAUAUCUGGAGGAAUACCGGUGGCGAAGGCGGCAUCUUGGACCGACAUUGACGCUGAUGAGCGAAAGCUAGGGGAGCAAACGGG